RNAcentral lists this ribosomal RNA (509 nucleotides) under uncultured bacterium. Its description in RNAcentral is "partial 16S ribosomal RNA". It matches the Rfam family "Bacterial small subunit ribosomal RNA", at positions 28 to 523 of the family's 1533-position model. The record is from RNAcentral.
GACGAACGCUGGCGGCGCGCUUAAUACAUGCAAGUCGAGCGAGAACCAGGGCUUCGGCCCUGGGGACAGCGGCGAACGGGUGAGUAACACGUGGGUAAUCAACCCCCGACACCGGGAUAGCCCAGGGAGACUUGGAUUAAUACCGGAUGCCCCAUCUGGCUUUCGAGCCGGCUGGAAAAGGGUAGCUUCGGCCUCCGGUCGGGGACGAGCCCGCGGGGGAUUAGCUUGUUGGUGAGGUAAAGGCUCACCAAGGCGACGAUCCGUAGCUGGUCUGAGAGGACGAUCAGCCACACUGGGACUGAGACACGGCCCAGACUCCUACGGGAGGCAGCAGUAGGGAAUCUUGCGCAAUGGGCGAAAGCCUGACGCAGCGACGCCGCGUGAGGGAAGAAGGCCUUCGGGUUGUAAACCUCUUUCAGGAGGGACGAAGCCACUCGGGUUAAUAGCCUAGAGGGUGACGGUACCUCCAGAAGAAGCCCCGGCUAACUACGUGCCAGCCGCCGCAGUAA